UCAUGGGACCGUGUAAAGCAUGUA
This 24-nucleotide non-coding RNA is filed under the name Cricetulus griseus (Chinese hamster). Lineage: Eukaryota; Metazoa; Chordata; Mammalia; Rodentia; Cricetidae. The record is from RNAcentral.